UACAGGGGGUGCAAACGUUGCUCGGAAUCAUUGGGCGUAAAGCGCACGUAGGCGGUUCGUUAUGUCGGAUGUGAAAGCCCUUGGCUUAACCGAGGAAGUGCAUCCGAAACUGGCGAGCUAGAGUACGAAAGAGGAUCGCGGAAUUCCCGGUGUAGAGGUGAAAUUCGUAGAUAUCGAGAGGAACGCCAACGGCGAAAGCAGGCAGCUGGGGAUGCACCGACGCUGAGACACGAAAGCCAGGGAGCGAACGGG
This 252-nucleotide ribosomal RNA is filed under the name uncultured bacterium. RNAcentral describes it as "partial 16S ribosomal RNA". It matches the Rfam family "Bacterial small subunit ribosomal RNA", at positions 524 to 776 of the family's 1533-position model. The record is from RNAcentral.